AUUGAACGCUGGCGGAAUGCUUUACACAUGCAAGUCGAGCGGCAGCGCGGGGCAACCUGGCGGCGAGCGGCGAACGGGUGAGUAACAUAUCGGAACGUACCCAGUCGUGGGGGAUAACUAUCCGAAAGGAUAGCUAAUACCGCAUACGACCUGAGGGUGAAAGCGGGGGACCGAAAGGCCUCGCGCGAUUGGAGCGGCCGAUAUCGGAUUAGCUAGUUGGUGAGGUAAAGGCUCACCAAGGCGACGAUCCGUAGCUGGUCUGAGAGGACGACCAGCCACACUGGAACUGAGACACGGUCCAGACUCCUACGGGAGGCAGCAGUGGGGAAUUUUGGACAAUGGGGGCAACCCUGAUCCAGCCAUUCCGCGUGAGUGAAGAAGGCCUUCGGGUU
Molecule: ribosomal RNA, 392 nt
Filed under: uncultured bacterium
Lineage: Bacteria
Description: bacterial SSU rRNA
Rfam family: Bacterial small subunit ribosomal RNA
Source: RNAcentral